Molecule: ribosomal RNA, 399 nt
Filed under: grassland soil clone saf2_218
Lineage: Bacteria
Description: bacterial SSU rRNA
Rfam family: Bacterial small subunit ribosomal RNA
Source: RNAcentral
AACACAUGCAAGUCGAACGAGACCUUCGGGUCUAGUGGCGCACGGGUGCGUAACGCGUGGGAAUCUGCCCUUAGGUUCGGAAUAACAGUUAGAAAUGACUGCUAAUACCGGAUAAUGUCUUCGGACCAAAGAUUUAUUGCCUAAGGAUGAGCCCGCGUAAGAUUAGCUUGUUGGUGAGGUAAAGGCUCACCAAGGCGACGAUCUUUAGCUGGUCUGAGAGGAUGAUCAGCCACACUGGGACUGAGACACGGCCCAGACUCCUACGGGAGGCAGCAGUGGGGAAUAUUGGACAAUGGGCGAAAGCCUGAUCCAGCAAUGCCGCGUGAGUGAUGAAGGCCUUAGGGUUGUAAAGCUCUUUUACCCGGGAUGAUAAUGACAGUACCGGGAGAAUAAGCCCCG